ACUCCUACGGGAGGCAGCAGUGGGGAAUAUUGCACAAUGGGGGAAACCCUGAUGCAGCCAUGCCGCGUGUGUGAAGAAGGCCUUCGGGUUGUAAAGCACUUUCAGCAGUGAGGAAAGGGUGACAGUUAAUACCUGUUAUCUGUGACGUUAACUGCAGAAGAAGGACCGGCUAACUCCGUGCCAGCAGCCGCGGUAAUACGGAGGGUCCGAGCGUUAAUCGGAAUUACUGGGUUUAAAGGGUGCGUAGGCGGAUAACUAAGUCUAAGGUGAAAGUCUGUGGCUUAACUAUAGAAUUGCCUUGGAUACUGGUUAUCUUGAAUUGGGUUGAGGAUGGCGGAAUGUGACAUGUAGCGGUGAAAUGCAUAGAUAUGUCAUAGAACACCGAUUGCGAAGGCAGCCAUCUGGGCCUUGAUUGACGCUGAGGCACGAAAGCGUGGGGAGCGAACAGGAUUAGAUACCCUGGUAGGAUAGCGU
This 474-nucleotide ribosomal RNA is filed under the name uncultured bacterium. Its description in RNAcentral is "bacterial SSU rRNA". It matches the Rfam family "Bacterial small subunit ribosomal RNA", at positions 335 to 800 of the family's 1533-position model. The record is from RNAcentral.